CUAUAUUGUUCAACCAUCCAUCCAUGUAUCCAUCCGUCCAUCAAUCUGUCCAUCCAUCCAUCUAUGUAUCCACGUAUCUGUCCGUCCGUCCGAAAUCCAGCUAGAGAGGUAGGUAGCUCAGAAGCUUGCACAACAUUGACAGGCUGAGGCGGUACAAUCAACAGUUUGAGAUCAGCCUAAGUUACAAAGUAUGUAUGCAUGCAUGCAUGCAUGUAUGUAUGUAUGUAUGUAUGUAUGUAUGUAUACACACACACACACACACACACACACACACACACACACACACACACAAACACACCAGGCAGCGGUGGUACACAUCUUAAAUCCUUUAGUCUUCAUGAGGCAGAGCCUGGUCUACCGAGUGAGUUCAAGGACAGCUUGGGAAACACAAGCUUCUGUCAGGAAAGCCUUCCUGUGAAGUCUUAACAUUGUUAGUGACAAGCACUGAGGAAAUGUGGAUCAAAGCCCCCAUGGAAAGAGCAUUUUUCUCGGUGGGAUACCAGGGGCUGCAUACAAGGCUUCACUGAGCUGCAUUGCCACCCACAUGUUUUGAGACAAGUUGUCAUUAAAUUACCCAGGCUGGCCUUGAACCAUCUAUCUUUCUGCAACUCCCAAGAGAAUGGCUUGCAGGUCUGCACAAUCAGGCCUGAUUUUUUUUUUAAUUUUUAUUUUAAAGUAAGACGAUAACGUUGGUAAAAAAAAA
This 703-nucleotide long non-coding RNA is filed under the name Rattus norvegicus (Norway rat). RNAcentral describes it as "long non-coding RNA NONRATT007171". Lineage: Eukaryota; Metazoa; Chordata; Mammalia; Rodentia; Muridae. The record is from RNAcentral.